This 497-nucleotide ribosomal RNA is filed under the name uncultured bacterium. RNAcentral describes it as "partial 16S ribosomal RNA". It matches the Rfam family "Bacterial small subunit ribosomal RNA", at positions 28 to 507 of the family's 1533-position model. The record is from RNAcentral.
GAUGAACGCUGGCGGCGUGCCUAAUACAUGCAAGUCGAGCGAACAGACGAGGAGCUUGCUCCUCUGACGUUAGCGGCGGACGGGUGAGUAACACGUGGAUAACCUACCUAUAAUACUGGGAUAACUUCGGGAAACCGGAGCUAAUACCGGAUAAUAUAUUGAACCGCAUGGUUCAAUAGUGAAAGACGGUUUUGCUGUCACUUAUAGAUGUAUCCGCGCCGCAUUAGCUAGUUGGUAAGGUAACGGCUUACCAAGGCAACGAUGCGUAGCCGACCUGAGAGGGUGAGCGGCCACACUGGAACUGAGACACGGUCCAGACUCCUACGGGAGGCAGCAGUAGGGAAUCUUACGCAAUGGGCGAAAGCCUGACGGAGCAACGCCGCGUGAGUGAUGAAGGUCUUCGGAUCGUAAAACUCUGUUAUUAGGGAAGAACAAAUGUGUAAGUAACUAUGCACGUCUUGACGGUACCUAAUCAGAAAGCCACGGCUAACUACGUG